Molecule: ribosomal RNA, 440 nt
Filed under: uncultured bacterium
Lineage: Bacteria
Description: partial 16S ribosomal RNA
Rfam family: Bacterial small subunit ribosomal RNA
Source: RNAcentral
CCUACGUGUGGCAGCAGUGGGGAAUAUUGGUCAAUGGGGGAAACUCUGAUCCCGCGACGCCGCGUGAGUGAAGACGUAUUUCGGUACGUUAAGCUCUUUCAGCAGGAAAGAAAAUGACGGUACCUGACUAAGAAGCCCCGGCUAACUACGUGCCAGCAGCCGCGGUAAGACGUAGGGGGCAAGCGUUAUCCGGAUUUACUGGGUGUAAAGGGAGCGUAGACGGCAUCGCAAGUCAGGAGUGAAAUGCCGGUGCCCAACCCCGGAACUGCUCUGGAAACUGUGAAGCGAGAGUGCAGAUGAGGUAAGCGGAAUGCAUGGUGUAGCGGUGAAAUGCGUAGAUAUCAGGAGGAACACCGGCGGCGAAGGCGGAUUACUGGACUGUAACUGACGUUGAGGCUCGAAGGCGUGGGGAGCAAACAGGAUUAGAUACCCGGGUAGUC